Molecule: long non-coding RNA, 1962 nt
Filed under: Marmota monax (woodchuck)
Lineage: Eukaryota; Metazoa; Chordata; Mammalia; Rodentia; Sciuridae
Source: RNAcentral
GUGACCUUCUACAGCGACUUGGGAAUAGAGCGUGUUCAGGAAGGGUUUGUGCAUUCCCAAGUAACUUUACUGUGCAGAUUGAAAAAAAAAAGAAAAAAGAAAAAAAAGGAUCACAACAAAACUGCAAUAUACUAUUCAGACAUCCCACUCUUCAAUAAAUUGAUGCAUAAAAAUAUUUGGACUCAAAGAUGGUAGAGUUGUGAGAGGGGAAAAGAAGAAAAAAAGGAAUGUCUCAAUAGAAAAUUGAAAGGUAGUUUCCAUUGGCUUUCAAAAAUUUUCUCAGCUUUCUUCUCCCCUGGGUUGUGUGAAGUUUGAUGGUUGCUCCAGUCUGGUGGCUGCCAGACCAGUUGGGUGAGUGAGCUGAUAGCAAGAUUAUCUCACACACUCUUCCAGUUUUCCAACCCAUUGUAGACAGCCCCAUCCCUGUGCACUUCAACUCACUGAGCUGGAGACAGCCCUGUUUUUUUUCCAGUUUCACCAACCUGUGCUCUCCUUGGGGGACUGCUCCUAGUCUUUGGCAUUCUACGGGCUUGCUGGAACCAGACUGGCCCACACAAACCCAGAUGCAAUCUAAUGAACUUGGGCUUCAGAUUCCCUAGGCUCUGACUUGCUGCGGUCCCAAGAUCUCAAUGCCUUUUCAACUUGCAGAGAGACUACCAGGGAUGUGCUCACACAAAGGAGGGACCCUGCAAAGAGGUAGCCAGAUGGCAGCCACUAGCACCACCAGCAGAAAAAUCUCAGGUGCAACCAGACCAGCAGGUACCCCAAUAAUAUAUCUCCAGGCCCUGGCUGGUGUCCCUAAACUGAGGUGGCCAUGCCCUGAGAUGGUGGCAAUGGUGGCGGCAAACCUUCAGGCCUUGGUGGGUAUCCCAAGAUGGCAGGGGACAUGUAACCAAACCUGUGUGUACUGUGACAAUGGACUUCCAGGCAUGAGGAGGUAGUGGGGAGCAGACAAUGUGUAGGCUAAUGGCAGGCGAUUGGUGGGUGAAUAUCAGUUGGUGGGCGAUGAUCAGGCAAGAGGUGGGCAAAUGGCUGAUGAUAGGCAGUGGUCAGUCAGUGAUCUGUGCUCAAAAGGCAGGCAACAUGCUUGUAGAGGGUGGCCAAUUGCAUAGAUGAACGGGGGGGGGGGGCAAACAGUGGGGAAUCAGUGGGCAGCAACGGCUGCCUUGCAAAGAAGCAGUAUUUCCUCUGCUUGAAACCCCAGUCAUGGAGCAACAAGGAUUGCACCCUCCCUCAAAUUCACCAUCUUGGAUCUCCCUCUCUGUUCUUAGUAAUCAGAUGAACAUCAUUUGUAAUGAAACUAAUCAAAAUUGUCACCUAUAGAGGGGAAGAAAAAGUGGCAUUAUGUGGACCUUUGUGGCAGAAAUGCAUAAGCUGAAUUGAAUGAUUAGGCAACAUCCAACAAGCUCAAAGGAAGUGGGCAUUUUAAAAACAUUGGGUCUAGGCUCUUAGAUUGUCAAGGUUAUGGGAGUCAAGGAAAGAUUGAGGAAUUGUUCUAGAUUGAAGUUAACUGAAGAGACAUGACACACAGUUUUACCAUGUGAUUUUGGAUUCUGAAAUGAACUUUCAGUGGAUAUAAAAUAUAUCUGGGAUUUAUUGAUAAAACACCAAAGAGAAUAAGGUUUAGAAAGUCUCAGUUCAUCAUUAUGAAUUUUUUAAUUCUGAUGGCUUGAUUGUUGUUAUAUAGAAAAAUUGUCUUGUUUUUAGGAAAUACAUACUAAAAUAUUUCCAAUUUACCAUGACCUUGACAAUCUAAGAGCCUAGACCCAAGUUUAUAAAACGCCCCUUCCUUUGAGCUUGUUGGAUGUUGCCUAAUUAUUCAAUUCAGCUUAUGCAUUUCUGCCAGAAAAGUCCACAUAAUGACGCAAUGACGCUUUUUCCAUUUCAAAUGUUUCAAACUAAAACAAUUCUGUACAUACUAGAACAUUUUCUAAAUACUUGUGGUUGUUAAAAAAGGAAGCC